Long non-coding RNA from Gallus gallus (chicken), 5750 nucleotides. RefSeq lists it as uncharacterized. The transcript is spliced from 3 exons. Lineage: Eukaryota; Metazoa; Chordata; Aves; Galliformes; Phasianidae. The record is from RefSeq and is a predicted model, not a curated record.
GAGAGGAGAGGAGAGGAGAGGAGAGGAGAGGAGAGGAGAGGUCAAGACCCUCGGGAAGAAGCUUCUGGAAGGAACAGAGCUGAGAUCUGUGAUAGCUUGUGAAAGCUCUGUUUACUCAUCUGUGGCAAAGAGGAGGCUUUUUAAAAUCUCAAGAAAGUGGAAUGUGCUCUAGAUUUGUCCUUCCCAUUCUGAGGGUUAAAUUUGCAUUUCUCUUAACGUCUCUCCAGCUAACAUGCAAAUGACUUCCAUGUGUCACUAUUUUUUUCCUUUAAAAAUAGUUUGAGUUUCUUCAAAAUUAUGUUCAGUAUUCAGAAUAUACCUCCAAAACAUUCCAAAACUCUUGAAUGCUGUUUUAAUUUCUUCAUAGCAUGGUUCUUGAGUUAAAAGACCUACCCUGUUCGUUCUUCAAUGCUGAAGAACAGCAGUCUCCCUCUAUGCAGCCAGUGUCUUAAACCUCAAAUACCUUUCUGAGCUUUAGAUGGGUUAUUUCACAUUUCUGUUACGUAGACAAAGAAACUGGGAGUGAGAUGAAGCGGCUUUGUGGAGAGCACAGGGAAGGUCAGUUCUCAGUUCAAGUUGGAUCCCUAGGGCUGUCAUCUCACAGGCCUGGUUUCUAAUCUCAGCAAAACACCGCCAGUCAGGCUGUCUUUUUGGCUGCUUUGCCCAUAGCCUGUUGGGUGAUCUCAGGAAUAUUUGGCAGAGGGAUAUGGAGGUUACGUUUCUGUAUUUUUGUAGGCGCUUGCGGGAGAGAUGAGGGAAAUGCAGGAAGAAUUGAGACACUCUCUGCUCCCAGAGGCAGCCGAGGCUCAGCCAGGCCUCCCGCACUGUCUAACGGGUGCUGUUGGGUCCAGGCAGGCAGGCAGGAGGUAUGGAGAGGAGACAAACCUGGAGACAAUAAAAGCAAUAACUAAGAAGCCGGAGCUAGGAAUGCAGCAGUGGGCUGAAGAUCUUGCAGGGUCCUGUGUUGAUGGGGAGGAGUUGGGAGAGUGGCACAGUGGGACAGAUAGAAGGUACAGGGAUGGAACUGCUAGGGAAGUGUAGGGCAUGGUGCAGGGCCCACUGGUUCUGCUGUCCGUGGGAGAAUUUAUACAUUAGGAGCUCUUAAUACCAUUCAUAGAAAUAGGGAGGAAGACGGGGAUGGCAGGGAAUAGUUUUGUUUCCUUUCGUGCUAAAGUGGGAUUUCAAUGAAAGGCACAAGAUCACAUUCAGGGCCAAUAGAGCUUUGCAGGCACUUUCACCAAGAAUGUUUUUAUUUCUUUGAAGAUGAGAUUACUAGAUUCUGUCAGAGCUGUUUGUCUCCAUGGUAGCAGAGCAGGCUAUGGAGGGGACAAAUGCAAACCCACGUUUUUACUUCAUCUAAUGCUGUUUUCUUAGGACUUGCCUACACUGAGAUGCUUAGGAAUGUUAAAUGAAAUAAACUAAUGAACAUAUGCUUGGUUGCAUUAAACUGCUAUAUGGACGCAGUCAUUCGUUGUAACAUUGUAACUAUGUCUUAGCCUGCUGUGCAAUAAAACUGCCUUUCUUCUGAAUAUAAUAAAGCCUCACUUAUGUACAUUGACUAGUUAAUUUGUCUUGACUAGACAUUUUCCUUAGUGUCCCCAUGUAAAUGAUGCAUUAAGUGAAGACUGUACUGAGACCACAUUGUUGGGCAACGAAGAUCCCAAACUUAGCUGCGAAUGUUGUUAGGAUGUGAUAGGACCAGGCACCAAAUUCUCCUUAGGAAGCCCUUGUUAACACAAACCUAAAAAUAUCUUCUUCUUGAUGCAAACAGUCAGAUCUAUUAUAAGGCAUUUCAAUCUGCCUUUUUGAAAAAGUUUAUAGUGAGGCAAUUCCAGAAAUAUUUGGAGGCUUCAUAUUUCCUUGAUCCCAGCCAAAUUGGUUUCAGGCCUCAUUAUGGUACGGAAACUAUAAGACUGUCUGUCUUAUUAGCUUACUGGCAAUAGCCAAAGACUGAGUUUAUACAUCAAUUAUCUUGAAAAAACAGAGUCGUGGAUUUCUGGGACAUCCGUGGUAGACAAAUAUACUUCAUCGGCACAUAUGCUUCACAAAUAUACUGGCACUUCUUUCAGUAUCAAAGGUCAUGGUGAAAAUGACAGCUGAUCUCAUGUUACAGGAUUUCUUGUUUGAUGAAUGACAAGGUAGAAUGAAUACGGAGUCUCAUCAAGACAAUGUUAUAGAAAUGACUUCACUAAUCGGCGGAGCUCACCAUUUCCUAUUUUGUUAUCAUAGGGAUAAAAUGUGAUUUUGAGUGUCUUAAAUACUUGCAUUUCAUUUGGACCUGUAUUGGAAAAUAGAAAAAGCUGCAAAGAUGUUUUGCUAGCAAUCACAGCUAUUGGUACUCCAUCUUAGAAAUCAAAAAGGGGUGUGUUGCCCACAAGAACAAGAAAUAGAGUCAUUGAUAUCUUCAGUCAGAUAAUGCUUUUUCAUGCUUUUCAUAUAUGUAGAACCUACCUGUCUGUAUUGAAAGGAGCAUGCCUAUAGGAUGGUAAGUAUAGGUAAUGCCUUUGUUUGUAAGUGAGGGCUGAUUUGAGUUCUGAAAUUGAUGAGGGAACAAGAGGUAGCAAAGAGAAAGCUCUGGGGAAACUUCAUUGCAGCUUUCCACUACUUGAAGGGACCUUACAAGCUGGAUGGGGACCGACUUUUAACAUGAUCUAUUAGUGACAGGACAAGGGGGAAUGGCUUUAAACUAGGAAGGGAGAUUUAGGUUAGGUGUUAGGAAGAAGUUUUUACUCAGAAUGCAGUGAGGCACUGGGACAGGUUGCACAGAGAGGCUGUGGUGCCCCAUCCCUGGAGGCACUCAAGGCCAGGAGGGGUGGGGCCCUGGGCAGCUGAGCUGGUGAGAGGCAGCCCUGAACAUGGCAGGAGAAUGGAACUGGAUGGACUUGGAGGUCUCUUCCAACCCGAACCAUUCCGUGAUUCCAUGAUUCCAGGGAUCUGUAAAAACUCAUGCGAGUUAUGCCUGUCUGGACCUGGAUAAUACAUUAUAUUCCUGAAACAAAAUGUUCCUCUAACCCUUAAAGAAUGUAAAAUGAGAGGUAGAGAGGGAAUCAAUGAAAAUAUGAUUGGUAUCUCUAAAUCAGAGCAGAACUUUAUGGAUUUUGAUUGUUCUUUUCCCAAAUUAUUACCUGCACUCUAGAAACAGAAGGAUUCUUUUUUCUUUUGCUACUACUUAAAGGGAUAGUUCCUCAACACAUAGCUGACACUGACAUAUUGAAAGUAAAUUGUUAAAAAGGGAAGAUUUCAGCUAAAAUAAAUCAGUUGUAUUGGAAACAGCGAAGCAGAAUUAGUAAGAGAUGCAUUAUGCACUGAGGCCACCUACUGGGCAUUCUUGAAUUAGCAGAGAAAAUGGUCGCAAAAAUGUAAUAACCAGUUGGCCAAAGUGCAAAACAAAGUAAGAGCACUAUUUUACUCUAUAGAAAGAAGAGAGGAAAAAAAGAUAUUAUGUGUGUGCUAUGGAAACUCAGAAUUUUUUAUCUGAACCAGUCAAAAGAAACGACUUCUUAUGGAGAUGUUUUUAAAUACAAACAAACAAACCAACUUUAAAACAACCAAUUGGGAAGCUUUAAGGUGCUCCCAGCCAAACUGACUGUUAGAGUUUAUUUAUGAUGGUGUGGCAAGAAAAGCGCAUUUUUAUUUCAUGAAAUCUGGUCAAGAUAUUAGAAAUAAUAUCUAAUUAUAUACCUGAGUGAUUCCUGUUAACUUUAUCAUUCAAAUGAAUUUACUCUCUGAAUGCGUUAUUGGCAAAUUAAGAUAGUCUGUUUCUGGUUGUUUUGUAAAUGAACAGAAAUGGAGAAUACAGAACUCAGAAGCUUAUUUCAUAAUCAGAAAUUACAACAUAGGCAUGGGACAGGCAUGGCUACACGAAUGGAGAGAAACCUGUGUGAAACACAUACCGCCUGGACAGAUGGUAGGGGAGAAGCAUGAUUUGUCACUGAGAGCAUCUGGGCAGUGCCCUGUGCUUACUCAUGCUGAAACUUCAGAAGUGGCUACAAGCACUAUCAAGGCUGCUGUAUAGUUUUCCAGGCUCUUUGCAGCAGAUUUAUGGCCAGUAAACUUGGCUUCAAAAUUACAGGGAUGUAUUCAAUUUUUUUUUUUUUUCUGGCUUCAGAAUGUUGCUGAUCUUCUGUGUACAUUUUUUUUUUCCUUCAGAAAAGUUUCCAGUUCCCAGGGAAUGGUUUGUGGAUUUAUUGAUCUUUUUUUCUGCAUUUUUCCCUGCACUGUUUUUCAACUGGUUUGCAAAAGCAAAUCUAACUUUUGAUGUAUAUGGUAUUUACUGAAACCAACUGUCAAAGAUAUUACAUAGCUGUAGUCUCGUAAAGCAUAACCAAAUACAGCCACAAGCUCACCUAGAGGAUUUUCGCAUCCUGGAUCAGAUUGCUGUACUGCGAAGCCUACAGCUUCUUGAUGUCCUAGGAGCCACUCCAUCACAUUUGGAUGCCAUCUUGACUCUCCAGCUCCUUCAUGUGUGCAACAGUUUGGAAUGAUGAAGCAGAGAGGUAUGCUGGCAGGAGGUGGCAGAAGAAGCAACAAAAGUAGAUGGAAUCAUAUGACCAAGAAAACAAGCUGAUGAAGUCGUAGAAAUUGAUCAAUUGUUGGCACUGAAGAUCUGCAGAGCCAUUUACUUUCAGUCUUUUCUCAUUCAUUGAAUGAAUCUUCAACAAACCAAUUAAAUUCAUUCAGCGAAAGAUGGCAAGGUAAAUGGAAGAUUGGUGCUGCUUCUGAAGAUGCCAACCUGAGGAGCCAUGGUUACACAGCCCUGAGCACAUAACGUUCCCAGCACUAACAGCAUCUAAAAAACCCUUAAUUAUUUCUAAAAAAAUAAACCAAAACAAACUUUAAUUGACGAUACCUUUAUUAAUAUAAAGUUAUCACAAUACUCUCUUUAGAUAUUUCCUUAAUACUCGCUGUUGAGCAAUAGAUUUAAUGAUGCUUUUGUAUUUUUGACACAGUUCUUUGUGAUGUAUUUCACAUUCUCACAUUGCACGUGAAGAAGCCCUCACUUAAAGUGAGGCGUUGGGUGGGCAGAGCAGGCAGCAAUAGAGGCUUCAGAAACGGGGAAUUGUUGUUUCUCACUCUGAGGGCAUUUUGCCAGAGAAUUCUGCUUGAGACUCAUGGAAAUUCUUGGACUAAACGUAUGCGUGCAUGGGGCUGGAAAAAUAUAUACGAAGCGUGUGUUUCUAUAGGAGUCCUAUUCACCUAAAACAUAACAAGAUUUAAAAACACUUCUUGCAAAUCAGAUUGAAAAUGACUGUGGGCUUCACAGCCUGUCUUCUUGCACAUUUUUACUAGAUUUGUAGCCAUCGAUAUUUGCUGGUUGAUGCUUGGCAGAGAGAAGAAAGAGACCAUGAAGAGAAAGGACACAUUCUUAAGUGUUUAAGUAAAAACGUGCACGCGUUUUUCCACUUAAACUUCAACUGUGAUCUUUCUGGUGGUGUGCUCUGUGUCUAAAAUAGCAAAUGAAAAGGAGCAGCUGAUAAAACAAGAGAUGUGGAUCUCAAACGAGUGCGAAGUUUGUCGUUAGUUCGUUCCUUUAGAAAAAGCUAUUUCCGUAUUGAUUCUCCAGUCUCGCAGUUUCCUCUCAAUAAAAUAUGUACGAACAGCUGCAGACAUUGUGAGACUUUAACAAUGAAUAAAUAACACUUCUGCAGCACUACUACCAGAGCCCGAUGAAAUUUAUAUGACUUUCUCCCACAGUAACCGACUUGUUCAGGAGUUUACUAACUCAUGCUAUGUAUAAAUAUUCUGACUUC